Long non-coding RNA from Homo sapiens (human), 541 nucleotides. The record is from Ensembl. Lineage: Eukaryota; Metazoa; Chordata; Mammalia; Primates; Hominidae.
AGGGGACGGUGAGAACUGAGAGCCACCUCACACCAUUGGGUCUCCUCCCUACAGUCCUUUUACUCUCCCCUGCCCGAAAUCAGACUGCCGCCUCCCCCAGGGCCUGGGCAGUUUCGAACUGGGGAUGCCCGCAGCUUGUUCUGGAAACCAGGAUGUUCUAGUUCUUGGUGCGUGUUGAGGAGAGAACGCGACCAGGACAGAGAAAAUAAAAUGCUGCUGUGAGAAGAUACUGCAGGAGUGGAUUUGAAAGCUGAUGGAAGAAGAUUGUAAACAGAAUUCUACCUCUUCGCCAACACUGUGACCAGCACCCCAGGAUCCACUUAUUGGGAACAGGUUCCUGGGUGAAGAAGGUGCCUUGCUUCCCCUUCACCUUCCACCAUGAUUGUAAGUUUCCUGAGGCCUCCCUAGCCAUGCUGAACUGCAUACAUUAAGUGUGGGAGAGAGCUAUCCUGCUCAAAAGAGAGUGCUCCCCAUUCUGACACAUCUGGAAAUCAUCUGGCAAAUGUCUUCUGACCGUCUCUGAGUGAAAAAGCCUUCGAGU